UACAUAAGUUAAAAAAAACUGAAAUUAAUAAAAUUUUAGACUUCAAACAUUUAAUAAACAGCUCCUUAGAAUAAAUUUGAUAAAAUUACUUGAUAAGGAUAGUUACUCACAAAAACAUCAUCGAAAAUUAAAUAAUUUUAAUAUUAUAUACAAUAUAAAUUUACAAAUGAGUAUAUAACCCAUAAAAAUACUCAAUCGAAGCUUAAAGAAAUACACAACUACACAAAUGAAGUUCAACAUAGAAAAUUAAAGAAAUAAACAGGGAGGAACUAGGAAAUACCGAUCAACAUAAUCAAACAAAUUAAGUUAAUUUCUUAAGAAAAUUCUAACAAAAAGAAAAAGAACCUUUUAAAUCUAUUAAAACUACUCUCACAAACUGAUAUUUUUGGAAAACACUUCCUGAUUAUGCCCAAAAAGAUUUAUUCAAAAGCUAAGGUUAAUGAUUAAUUCUUAAGUAGUUUGUACAUUUCUUAUUCUUUAUUUCAUUUAUUUGAUUACUUGAUUUUUCCUACAAUUCAUAAUUGAGUUGCAUAAAUAAUUAAGCUUGAGGAUCAUUAAAUUCUCAAAAUAUAAAUUGUGCUAUUGCAAUUUGCUCCUCCUCCAUUACCCACAAAUAAGUACAUCAAUAAUUACUUAAAGUAUUGGGAAAAUUUUAUAUGUGAAAUAUAUCAUCGUUUACAUAAAUGGCAGAAUAGUUUAAAGACAUCGCCUCUACUAGUCAAUUAAUAAAGUAGAUAUAUUUUUCAAGGGAAGGUUCAAAGCUUGAGACCUACCUAUUCUAUGCAAGUUUUGAUAUGUUGGAUUUUAUCACCAGAAAUAAUUUUGAUAUCAAAACAAUCAUUUUUGUGUCUUUUGCCAAUUUUCAUUCGUGUCAAGGAUUAUUAGGGAAAAUAGCAUAAAAUGGCUAUUUUAAGGCCAAUUUUGAGCAAGAUAAAUAUUAUAAAAACAACAGAUAAUUGAGAAUCUCCUCCAUAGCUCUUCACAAUGAAUUAUAGAACACUCAUUGAUGCUUGGAUGAAUGAGAAAUUGGAUCUCAAAGAAUAGCCUUAGGUAUGAAAAAAAAUGAAAUAAAAAUGGCAAAUCGCAUAUUGAAAAAAUAACUAUGAACUAAAGGCCUUAUAUAUACUUACACAUGUAAUAGAUAUUAAGACUUGUAACGAUAAAGGCUCUCUCUAUGCACCCCUAUGUAGGGGUUUCAAAUCAUAGAUAAAUUUGGCUUGACUCUCGUGCGCUUACAUGUCCUUUAUAUGCAAAUGUCAUCCAAAUAUGAGACAACAAGUCUUAGUUUGAUUUUGUCAUUUUCUUUUUAUAAUGGAAUGUGAAAUUAAAUCUGAAAGUAGGAUUGGGCAAAAUCGAGUUCGGGCCAACCCGAUCGGGUUUUGGAUUGGUCGGAUAGAUAAAAAUUCAUCCAAAAUCAACCCAAACCUAUAACCCAAUCUCAUCUUAUCCAAAAUAUAUUUGAAUCAAAUCAGAUUAGGUCAAAGAAUUGGGUUGAAUUCGGUUCGGAUGAGAUUCGAAUUAGAUACAUUUCGGAUUGGGUUCAGGUUAAUCGGGUCAAUUUGGGGUGGGGUAAAAUCGAAUAAAAUAAGAUUCAGCUAAGAAAAAAAAUCAAUUAUUGCCAAUUAACAAAAAAAAAUCAAUACACAAAUUAAAAAUUUUCUUCAUUUUAUUUUUAAAAUUUAACAAUACAUAAUUACAUAUUAUUUACAAUUACCAAAAUAUCAAUUAACAAUUUCACUUUCACAUAUGAUAUGUAAUAUAUUACUAUUACAUACCAUCAAUAAUUCAAUAUCAAGGGCUCAAAAAGUCAACAGGAGAAAUUCAGGUUGCCACUUGUUGUUGGUUCGAAUAGAGCUUAAAUAAGAUUGGUGAUGGUGGAGGAUUGGAGCCUUAGAUGCGUGAAAGUGGAGCAACAGAUCUGGUCACGAUCCUCGCAGAGCAGAUUCGGUUGGUGUCGGUGCUCUGUGGUUGCUGCAUCUGGUAGGCAGCUGCUUCUUGCUUUUCCUAUGUGCAUGUGUGUGGAAAACCGCGAACUCUGUGUGUGUUUGACAGUUAGUGUUUCGUGUGUUUGAGAUGAGAAGUUGUUAAGUUGAGGAAGGUUAUGAGUGCGGCUGUUGGUAGUGGACUAUUGGGGAGGCUGUGCUGUCGGCAGUAAGCUGCGAAAAAAGCUACGGGUGUGGCCGUAUAGCUGUCAGCAGUGGCUGCUGCAUGCAUUAUUAUUGUGUUUGUUUGUAAAUUGUAAUUCUCUGUGUGUACGGUGUGUAAGUCUUUAGGCAUAGGUUUUGAUUUUCACUUUUCAAUUUCUAAAUUUUUUUUUAAGGCCAACCCGAUCGGGUUUUUGAAUCAGAUCGAGUGACCAAUUCGAUCGGGUUGGCACAAAUGCAUCUAAUCAGAUUUCAUUAACAAUCCAAUCCGAUCUGAACUUGAUAUUUUUUAGAUCGGGUUGGAUAUUUUGCCCAGCCUUAUCAGAAAGUGUAAUAGCUAAAUUAAUUAGAAGCUACAAUAUCUGCUGCUACAGAAAUUGAACAAGCAUAACAGUAAGAAUUAAAAAGCCAUUAUUGCUGGUGAAAAAUCAGUUUUUAUAAAUUAAAAAAAAAAUUUUAGGAUCGCUCCCAUAUAAUAUAUAAGAAUUUGUAAUCUAGAAAUCGUAUCUUGAAAAUCCGAUUUGGCUUGUCCGUUGAAGUGAAACUAGGCUCCCAGAUCACGAUUCGCCACCAUCACGUCUGUUAGAUCACGAUCUGUCACCACCACGCUUGUUAGAUCACGAACUGUCACCAAUGAUCUUCCAGGAUAAGGUUUGAUCUGCACUUGACCUGUGGGCGCCUUUAUCACCACUAAAGCAACUAGCACGAGAAAAUUUUUCUCUCAAGAUUAGAAAGAAAAAUCUUUUUCUUUGAUCUGUAUAAGGUGACUGCUCUCUUUUUUUUAUAGAGAAAAUAAGCCCUUUUAUAUUUCUAUCUAGUGGAAACCCCAGGCUCCAUAUUUAUUUAUUUAUUAAUUCUAUUAAAUCCAUUUUGAUUUAAAUUAAAAAAUAAUUAAAACAAAAGUCACGUUACUUGUUCUUGUGUUAUAGGGGCCCGCCUUGUAAAAUAACACAAGGCCCCUUACACUCAAGCAUAUUAAUGAAGUCUCCCACUAAAUAAUAUAUUUAGGUUUUUGACCCAAAUAACUAGUUAUCUUGCUUAUUAAUCCAGUAGUGGUGCAGUCAAUUAAAUGAGCUAACCCGGGGAUCAUUUGGGAACAUACAAUAGUGGCUACAAUAAUUAGGCCUAUAAUUAAAUUAUCCCAAUUAUUUAAUUCCAAAUCUACUCCACUAAAAGAUUGGAACUGACCUCCAUAAUUAUAUGCUCGAAUAAUAAUUCGUCCCAAGCCACAUUGAUUUCUUUACUGCAUAAUCCUUUGUAUCACAUCAUUAAUUAAAUUGAUAUCUCAACUGUCCAAUCAAUUUAAUUACAUCUUGUUCCUUGAUUCUUACUGGUUUUCUCUAAUGAUCAUUUUCAACAUACUCAAUAUGUUGACACACUCUGACCAGAGAAUUCUAUGAUCAAGUGUCAAAAACCCAUCAAGAGAUGUGUUGUACAAAUUCUAUAUUGUCAAUCUAUAAUUCCAAUACUCAUAAUUGCUCCCACCAAGAUACCGGGUAAUCUUGACUACAAGUAUGUGUCGUGCCCAUUGGUAACUCAAAUGAAAUAAUAAUUACAAUCAUGAAAUCAUAAUUAACUCAAGAUUAAGAUUACAGUAAAUUAUGAUUUCAUGAUUGUAAUUAUUAUUUCAUUUGAGUUACCAAUGGGCACGACACAUAAUUGUAGUCAAGAUUACCCGGUAUCUUGGUGGGAGUAAUUAUGAGUAUUGGAGUUAUAGAUUAACAAUAUAGAAUUUGUACAACACAUCUCUUGAUGGGUAUUCGGUACUUAAUCAUAGAAUUCUCUAGCGAGAGUGUGUCAACAUAUUUAGUAUGUUGAAAAUAAUCAUUAGAGAAAACUAGUAAGUAUCAAUUAACAUGAUGUAAUUAAAUUGAUUGGACAGUUAAGAUAUCGAUUUAAUUAAUGAUGUGGUACAAUGGAUCAUGCAGUAAAGAAAUCAAUGUGGUAUGGGUCGAAUUAUUAUUUGAGAACACUAUCCUGGAUAGCAUAUAAUUAUGUAGGUCAGUUCCAAUCUUUUAAUGUAGUAGAUUUGGAAUUAAAUAAUUGGGCUAGUUUAAUUACAUGCUUAAUUAUUUUAGCCACUAUUGUAUGUACCCAAAUGAUCCCUAGGUUAGCUCAUUUAAUUGAUUUUGCCGCUAUUGGAUUAAUAAGCAAGAUAACUAGCGAUUUAGGUUAAAAACCUAAAUAUAUCAUUUAGUGGGAGACUCUAUAUAAUAUACUUGUGUCUAAGGGGCCUUGUAUUAUUUUACAAGGUGGGCCCCUAUGACAAGAAGAAGUAACGUUACUUUUGGUUUUAUUAUUUUUUAAUUUAAAUCAAAUUUGAUUUAAUAGAAUUAAAAAAUAUAAAAAUAUUAAAGCCUAGGGUUUCCACUAAGAUAGAGAUAUAAAAUGAUUUAUUUUCUCCCAAAAGAAAAAAAGAAGCCACAUUAUACAGAUCAGAGAAAAAAAAAAUUUCUCUAAUUUUGAGAGAACAAUUUUCUCCUUCUAGUUGCUUUUAGUGGUGAUAAAGGUGCCUACACAGUAAGUGCAGAUCAAACCUAAGUCAUAAUCUGGAAGAUCAUUGGUGACGGAUUGUGAUCUAACAAGCGUGGUGGUGACGGAUCGUGAUCUAACAAGCGUGGUGGUGACGGAUCGUGAUCUAACAAGCGUGGUGGUGACGGAUCGUGAUCUAACAAGCGUGGUGGUGACAGAUCGUGAUCUAACAAGUGUGGUGGUGACAGAUCGUGAUCUGGGAGCCUAGAUUAAUUCAGCGAAAAAGUCAAAUCGGAUUGUCAAGAUAUGAUUUUCUAGAUUACGAAUUCUUA
Molecule: long non-coding RNA, 4948 nt
Filed under: Citrus x clementina
Lineage: Eukaryota; Viridiplantae; Streptophyta; Magnoliopsida; Sapindales; Rutaceae
Description: Citrus clementina (C. clementina) long non-coding RNA (CCLE_LNC005200)
Source: RNAcentral